UACGAAGGGUGCAAGCGUUAAUCGGAAUUACUGGGCGUAAAGCGUGCGUAGGCGGUUAUAUAAGUGAGAUGUGAAAGCCCUGGGCUCAACCUAGGAACUGCAUCUUAUACUGUAUAGCUAGAGUAUUGUAGAGGGUAGUGGAAUUUCCGGUGUAGCGGUGAAAUGCGUAGAGAUCGGAAGGAACACCAGUGGCGAAGGCGGCUACCUGGACAAAUACUGACGCUGAGGCGCGAAAGCGUGGGGAUCAAACAG
RNAcentral lists this ribosomal RNA (252 nucleotides) under uncultured bacterium. RNAcentral's name for it is "partial 16S ribosomal RNA". It matches the Rfam family "Bacterial small subunit ribosomal RNA", at positions 524 to 775 of the family's 1533-position model. The record is from RNAcentral.